GGGUAGGUACCGAAGCGGUCAAACGGGUCUGGCUGUAAACCAGAUGGCUCUGCCUUCGGGGGUUCGAAUCCCUCCCUGCCCACCA
This 85-nucleotide transfer RNA is filed under the name Candidatus Peregrinibacteria bacterium CG11_big_fil_rev_8_21_14_0_20_46_8. RNAcentral describes it as "tRNA-Tyr". It matches the Rfam family "tRNA". Rfam says of the family: Transfer RNA (tRNA) molecules are approximately 80 nucleotides in length. Their secondary structure includes four short double-helical elements and three loops (D, anti-codon, and T loops). The record is from RNAcentral. Lineage: Bacteria; Candidatus Peregrinibacteriota.